This 497-nucleotide ribosomal RNA is filed under the name uncultured bacterium. RNAcentral describes it as "partial 16S ribosomal RNA". It matches the Rfam family "Bacterial small subunit ribosomal RNA", at positions 28 to 507 of the family's 1533-position model. The record is from RNAcentral.
GAUGAACGCUGGCGGCGUGCCUAAUACAUGCCAGUCGAGCGAACAGACGAGGAGCUUGCUCCUCUGACGUUAGCGGCGGACGGGUGAGUAACACGUGGAUAACCUACCUAUAAGACUGGGAUAACUUCGGGAAACCGGAGCUAAUACCGGAUAAUAUAUUGAACCGCAUGGUUCAAUAGUGAAAGACGGUUUUGCUGUCACUUAUAGAUGGAUCCGCGCCGCAUUAGCUAGUUGGUAAGGUAACGGCUUACCAAGGCAACGAUGCGUAGCCGACCUGAGAGGGUGAUCGGCCACACUGGAACUGAGGCACGGUCCAGACUCCUACGGGAGGCAGCAGUAGGGAAUCUUCCGCAAUGGGCGAAAGCUUGACGGAGCAACGCCGCGUGAGUGAUGAAGGUCUUCGGAUCGUAAAACUCUGUUAUCAGGGAAGAACAAAUGUGUGAGUAACUAUGCACGUCUUGACGGUACCUAAUCAGAAAGCCACGGCUAACUACGUG